CGGUAUUACGAUAAAAUGUUAAUAAAAUUUUGGGUGUAUCUGAACGUUUAACAAGUGUAACUAUAAAAGCUCUGAAUCAAAUUGAAUAACGAAAUGACAACGUAAUAAACAACACUAUAAGAUAUUGGAUGAUGCAUUUCACUUGUACCAGUUGAGGAGAGGUGAAAUUACAUAGCGAAGCACUAAAGCUGUAAAACAGUAUUUACAUGAUAAAAACCAAACUCUCAGCACACUUUAGAGUGAAUAAAUGGUUAUGGUAGCAGAAGCCAAUAUAUAUGCAUGUGUAUAGAUUAGAUACUAUUCAUAUUAGAGAGUGGAUGAAGUUCUUGACUUCUGAAUCUUAUCAUCGUCUGAAGGAGGUGAUGACUGUGCUGCGUGGUAAGAUGAAGAAACAAGUUGUGCUAAAGCAGGAACUGCCCCACCUGCAGUUUUUCAAAAGACAUUGUUAUCAAUUCAUCAACAUAGUAAAUCCAAUGUUUUCAAUCGCAUAUCCAAGGAAAUAGCAGUUUGUUCAAAUUCCGUUACUAUGCUAUAAUGUUAUAGCCUCUAUUUGAAAACACUUUGUAGUUUGUACUAAAUUUUGCAUCCCAGAACAAUAGUGGUUUGUUAAAAUUCUGCUACCUAUUGAAAAGUUUCAGACUUAUUUGUG
RNAcentral lists this long non-coding RNA (649 nucleotides) under Trifolium pratense (red clover). RNAcentral's name for it is "long non-coding RNA (TPRA_LNC006047)". The record is from RNAcentral. Lineage: Eukaryota; Viridiplantae; Streptophyta; Magnoliopsida; Fabales; Fabaceae.